GAUGACGCCCAGAGACCACAAGUCACAGCUCUGCAAAAAGACAACGAGAGUUUUUCAAGGUCUGGAUUUUGCCCGUGUUCUACCUCCAUUCCAGACUCACCUGACAGGUCCACUGAUGCCAGCGCCAAGCUUUUGCGUCCAAUUUAUGUUGUAUUCCUCUAGAAUGGACGCCUCCUGCAAUUACGAUUUCAAGAUGACUUGACCAGUCAACCAAAUACUGAUGAUUGCUGAGCAAGUUAUCCAGUGGCUUUGUCAACUCUCUUCUAUUUCACACCAC
Syngnathus acus (greater pipefish) is the source of this 277-nucleotide long non-coding RNA. RefSeq lists it as uncharacterized. Lineage: Eukaryota; Metazoa; Chordata; Actinopteri; Syngnathiformes; Syngnathidae. The transcript has 3 exons. The record is from RefSeq and is a predicted model, not a curated record.